Molecule: ribosomal RNA, 276 nt
Filed under: uncultured bacterium
Lineage: Bacteria
Description: partial 16S ribosomal RNA
Rfam family: Bacterial small subunit ribosomal RNA
Source: RNAcentral
UACGUAGGGUGCAAGCGUUGUCCGGAAUUAUUGGGCGUAAAGAGCUCGUAGGCGGUUUGUUGCGUCGCUGUGAAAUCCCGAGGCUCAACCUCGGGUCUGCAGUCGAUACGAGCAAACUAGAGUGAUGUAGGGGAGACUGGAAUUCCGUGGUGAUAGCGGUGAAAUGCGCAGAUAUCAGGAGGAACACCGAUGGCGAAGGCAGGUCUCUGGGCAUUGAACUGACGCUGGAGGAGCGGAAAGCAUGGGGAGCGAACAGGAUAGACUCCUAGUAGUCCA